This 397-nucleotide ribosomal RNA is filed under the name uncultured bacterium. RNAcentral describes it as "partial 16S ribosomal RNA". It matches the Rfam family "Bacterial small subunit ribosomal RNA", at positions 523 to 918 of the family's 1533-position model. The record is from RNAcentral.
AUACGUAGGUGACAAGCGUUAUCCGGAUUUACUGGGCGUAAAGGGCGUGUAGGCGGUCUUGCAAGUCAGAAGUGAAAUUCCUGAGCUCGACUCGGGCGCUGCUUCUGAAACUGCAGGACUUGAGUGCUGGAGGGGAUAGCGGAAUUCCUAGUGGAGCGGUAAAAUGCGCAGAUAUUAGGAAGAACACCGGUGGCGAAGGCGGCUAUCUGGACAGUAACUGACGCUGAGGCGCGAAAGCGUGGGGAGCAAACAGGAUUAGAUACCCUGGUGGUCCACGCCGUAAACGAUGAAUACUAGGUGUAGGGGGUAUCGACUCCCUCUGUGCCGCAGUUAACACAAUAAGUAUUCCGCCUGGGGAGUACGGCCGCAAGGUUGAAACUCAAAUGAAUUGACGGGG